CAAAAUCAUACAAAUUCUUCAUCCAAAAUAUACCUAAAAUCUUGAACUUACUGAUCCUAGCCUCCAAAGCUCAAAAUACUUCCAAAGAAAAAUCCUAAUCCCUAAUAAGGCCUCGAAAAGCCUCCUUGAAGUCCAUUGGGCAUGGCCUUCGACCAAUAGGAAUGAAGACCUCCAUUCCUUGCCUUCAUCCAACCAUGCUUUGC
Molecule: long non-coding RNA, 203 nt
Filed under: Physcomitrium patens
Lineage: Eukaryota; Viridiplantae; Streptophyta; Bryopsida; Funariales; Funariaceae
Description: long non-coding RNA (PPAT_LNC000586)
Source: RNAcentral